GGGCCUAUAGCUCAGUCGGUUAGAGCGCUACACUGAUAAUGUAGAGGUCGAUGGUUCGAGUCCAUCUAGGCCCAC
This 75-nucleotide transfer RNA is filed under the name Arcanobacterium haemolyticum. RNAcentral describes it as "tRNA-Ile(gat)". It matches the Rfam family "tRNA". From Rfam's summary of the family: Transfer RNA (tRNA) molecules are approximately 80 nucleotides in length. The record is from RNAcentral. Lineage: Bacteria; Bacillati; Actinomycetota; Actinomycetes; Actinomycetales; Actinomycetaceae.